RNAcentral lists this ribosomal RNA (230 nucleotides) under uncultured bacterium. RNAcentral describes it as "partial 16S ribosomal RNA". It matches the Rfam family "Bacterial small subunit ribosomal RNA", at positions 562 to 790 of the family's 1533-position model. The record is from RNAcentral.
AAAGCGUGCGCAGGCGGUUAUAUAAGACAGAUGUGAAAUCCCCGGGCCUCAACCUGGGAACUGCAUUUGUGACUGUAUAGCUGGAGUGCGGCAGAGGGGGAUGGAAUUCCGCGUGUAGCAGUGAAAUGCGUAGAUAUGCGGAGGAACACCGAUGGCGAAGGCAAUCCCCUGGGCCUGCACUGACGCUCAUGCACGAAAGCGUGGGGAGCAAACAGGAUUAGAUACCCUUU